GACGAACGCUGGCGGCGUGCUUAACACAUGCAAGUCGAACGGAAAGGCCCUGCUUUUGUGGGGUGCUCGAGUGGCGAACGGGUGAGUAACACGUGAGUAACCUGCCCUUUACUUUGGGAUAACUUCAGGAAACUUGGGCUAAUACCGUAUAUGAGCUCCUGCUGCAUGGUGGGGGUUGGAACGUUUCGGCGGUUGGGGAUGGACUCGCGGCUUAUCAGCUUGUUGGUGGGGUAGUGGCUUACCAAGGCUUUGACGGGUAGCCGGCAUGAGAGGGUGACCGGCGACAAUGGGACUGAGAUACGGAGCAGAAUCCAACGGGAGGCAGCAGUGGGGAAGAUUGCACAAUGGGAGGAAGCAUGAUGAAGAAACGCCGCGUGCGGGAAGAAGGCCUUCGGGUUGUAAACCGAUUUCGAAUGUGACGAAGCGUGAGUGACGGUAAUGGGUAAAGAAGCACCGGCUAACUACGUG
RNAcentral lists this ribosomal RNA (468 nucleotides) under uncultured bacterium. Its description in RNAcentral is "partial 16S ribosomal RNA". It matches the Rfam family "Bacterial small subunit ribosomal RNA", at positions 28 to 507 of the family's 1533-position model. The record is from RNAcentral.